RNAcentral lists this long non-coding RNA (3548 nucleotides) under Actinidia chinensis (golden kiwifruit). RNAcentral describes it as "long non-coding RNA (ACHI_LNC007169)". Lineage: Eukaryota; Viridiplantae; Streptophyta; Magnoliopsida; Ericales; Actinidiaceae. The record is from RNAcentral.
UGGGACGAGAGUGAGGGAGGAUUUUAUAAUCGGGGCGGGAGCGCAGGUGAACCCGCUCUAUUGCCAUCCCUGAUAAUAACCAACCAAAUUUUGUAGAAUCUUGCAAAUCAUGGUCUUGCGGACAACUUUGACCAUCCCGCAAGUUUCUCCUGUAGCCCCUCUUUUAAGACUUCAAAAUCAGUAUCCAAGCUGAUCCAACUCCAAUUUGACUAAUCUCGAGUCCAGACCCCAAACCCAAAUAUCAAGGCGGGGUCAUACAGGUAAUCAAAUCUACCAUGCAAUAUGCUAGAACAAGAUUACUAUAAAUCAAAAUUCAAGAGAUAUAAACUAUAUAUUUACGAUAUACUUUGAUUUUAUCAAACUUCAGAUCUAACAAGGUAAUUAACAAGGUAACUACCUAGUAAAGAGCAAGUUACCACUGGUGAGUAUAGGUCAGUGUUUUCUAAAGACUUGCCACAACGCUUCAUUAUCAGGCAGGCCUUUUGUCAAACCAUCCAGGGUGAAUGUAGAUCAUAAUCUAAUUCGUCCAAGUCCAAGCCAAAUGUAUGCCCUGACCAUCUUCCCACCUUCCACCAAUCAAACUCAAUACAAAUGAAAAUUGUGGGAGGGUAAAAUAGCUACUAUGCACAGAAUUGCCACCACUUGAAAAAUUACUCCUCAAAUUUGAUAAUUGGCUCAUAAAAAAGAAAACAAAUUGGGCACCAAGCACUAAAUUGGCAUACAACAAAUAAUAAUUAAGCAAUCAAAAUUCUGUACAUACUAGUAAUAAACCUUGGAAACUUUUCUUACUCGUGCAGAACACAAUAAUGAAAACUGGUGCCAACCUUUGAUUAGGGAAUGUUUGCAACAAUGGUGAAACUGUAUGGGACAACUUUAUUUCAAGUUCUAUAGCACUACUUAAAUGAUCACAAAUUAAAUAGGGCAAUAACGAAUUCAAACAAAUCAUAGAUCAAAAUAAAUAAAACCAAUCAAAUUCCUUGGACAAAAUCCACAUCUCAAAGGCAGCAUUUGAUCUCUACAUGCUUACAAAAGUACCUCUUAUUCAACACGUAAGAUUCGAGCAUACCAUAUCACCGGCACACCAAGCAGCUACAAUGAAAUGCCAUAUGCUAUAUACCUGCACAAAAUACUUCCCAGAUGCUUCCAAAGGUACCAUCAGGAUAAAAGAAAAGAACAAAACAUAAACAGCAGAAACUGAGAUUUACUUUAUUAUAAAACUUUGCCGUGCUACUUGAGGGUGAAAUAAGCAAAUAAAAUAAAAUAGAACAUAAGCAAGGACAUCAGUAUCUUCUAAAACACUAUAAAACUUCAAAUUUUCAGAAACUUCCUGUCAAAAGAAAUAAGAUAACUACAUUAAUGAAAUAUGAUACUAUAAUAUUCGACAUGCAUAGUUUUAGGUAGGCAGGGUAAUACUCGUGCGAGCACUCGCAACAACUUCCCAUUCUGCACCAAAUAUGAUAAGCCAGAAACAUCUGGUCUUGAAUGUAAGGCCAGAAAUCAAAAGUUCACAUGACAUCAGCAACUACUGAAGUGGAGAUCAGCCCAAAUGGACAACACCUGUUACUCCUUUUGCAACCAGCGCAGCACAACAGCAAGACAACCACAGCAUGACAGCACAAAAAUGGAAAAAUUCAACAGCCACCACUGAACCUUCACAGCUGAAAUUGAAGCCACAUACAGCACCACUGAACCUUCUUACUUCACAGCUUAUGGCAGUUACAACAGACACAUUCAAAAUACGAUACAAAUAUAUUACACUCAUUACGGGCCAAGCACAGUAAGGACCACCCCUUAACACCAGAAAAAUUGAAAAAUAAAAUAAAGCGCAGUUAGUUAUCCCAAAUGACCACCUAUACAAUGGCCAGGAUUACAGUACACAACAGGAACUCUUAAAUCCCAAAUGUAAAAAUUGAACUCAAACCUCCAUAUUUGAACAAAUAUACCAAAACAUGGGGAAAAUUAGCCAACAAAAUCAAUCAAUGGUUAGCGAUUAGGUAGUUAUCUGAGGAAAUUAUACUAUGAUUUGGUUUAAGGCCCCCUCGCAUUGUCAAUCAAGGUGUGCAGAAUUAAUUUUAGGAAAUUAGCAUUCAAUGUUUGCAGGGCACACAUGCUGUGAAUCGAUUUGAGUGUUUUUUGCAUACGAAUGACAUAAAUAAAUGGCGAUGGCAGAAGCAAGGUAAAGAGAACUUCUGUUAGUACCUCUAGGACGAUUGGACUGAAAAGUCGAGAUGUUAAUCCCAUCCUUGCAUUAGCUUGCGCAACGUUCGACUAGGAAAUUGAGAUCCUAUUUGCCUCGAAUUGGUGUAAAUGAAUCGCCGUGGUGCAAAUUAUAGACAAAAGCAACUGUUUGCAGGGGAGAGAGAGGAGGAAGAGAGAAAAAUGCAAGACACGAGAAGGGAGAGCCGGAAAAACCCCAUGCCAUCUCCCCUCAAAACACAAAAAGAAAAAUUUAUUAGUAAUUCUGACCUGUCAUGCAAGCGCACCUGACAUGACAAAGGUCGGGCGACAACCACUAUUGAACAUUCCACACACUAUUAUAUUUUCAUCCAUAGCGCUUAGCGCACUGACGCGCACACGCGUACUAUUAACUUCUUCUAUAUGGUUCGUACACCAUGAACAUAACACAAAAAGGCAUCCAACAAAUCCUUACAUAGAUCUUCGGAGCUUCAUCGCCAGACUUCUUCAACCGUUUCAAGAACCAAAUAACUUCAACUCGCAACAAAUCGGUUAGAUCAAGAAGCUAACGAGUAGAUCUAAAUUGCAACGGUCCAAGAUCGAAUUUUAUAUCAGUUCCCGAUCUGCAAGAUGAAACAAAUCUCCACAAAUAAGCAGAUCUGAUCCAAAAUUUACAACUACUAUGAUUCAACACGAAAAGAUCCCAGCCUUGAACUCUCACCUCCGAAAAUCACAGCAAAACCAUAGCUUUCCUAUCGAACAACACGAACAGAACUGGUACGUCUAUAAUCCAACUGAUCAGAACAAGGACCUAGAACAUUUAGGCAAAAUAUAUCAAUCAAACAAAUCCUCUGAGAAAAUACACACCAUAGAAAAAAAAAGGAUUUUUCAAGAACAGAUAAACCACAUACCUCCACAGAUCUACCAAAUCUGUAUAAACUUCGAACGAUUCGAAGCCAUGGCCGAUGAGAUUAUGCGUGAAUCGAGUCAAUCGACGGUCAGACGCAAAUCGCUCAACAAAAACGUUCGAAUCUACUAUCAAAUCGUAGAUCGACGAACCAUCCAUGUAGAUCAGAUGAGAAAUUUCGAAAUGAAUAACGAAGAAAAAUAGAUCUAAGGAAAAUGGAGCAGAGAGCGUUUCAAGAUGCACAGACGAAAUAGGGACGCAAAUGCCAACAAAAGAGGGCGAGCAUGAUUUAUUACCUGUCUGGCACGAUCCAACGGCUGUGGAUGAUUGCUUCUUGGACAUAUCAACAGUGGGACGUGAUUGGCCGUAGAUGAGAAUCUUGCGUUUACGUGUGAAGAUUCUCGAUUUGAUUUGACAAGAUUGCCACGUGUUUCGUCGUGCUUCACGCACAUUAAUUGUCUUAUUU